AGUGAACGCUGGCGGUAUGCCUAACACAUGCAAGUCGAACGGCAGCACAGUAAGAGCUUGCUCUUACGGGUGGCGAGUGGCGGACGGGUGAGGAAUACAUCGGAAUCUACUUUUUCGUGGGGGAUAACGUAGGGAAACUUACGCUAAUACCGCAUACGACCUACGGGUGAAAGCAGUGGAUCUUCGGACCUUGCGCGAUUGAAUUAGCCGAUGUCGGAUUAGCUAGUUGGCGGGGUAAAGGCCCACCAAGGCGACGAUCCGUAGCUGGUCUGAGAGGAUGAUCAGCCACACUGGAACUGAGACACGGUCCAGACUCCUACGGGAGGCAGCAGUGGGGAAUAUUGGACAAUGGGCGCAAGCCUGAUCCAGCCAUACCGCGUGGGUGAAGAAGGCCUUCGGGUUGUAAAGCCCUUUUGUUGGGAAAGAAAAGCAGCAGGUUAAUACCCCGCUGUUCUGACGGUACCCAAAGAAUAAGCACCGGCUAACUUCGUG
Molecule: ribosomal RNA, 492 nt
Filed under: uncultured bacterium
Lineage: Bacteria
Description: partial 16S ribosomal RNA
Rfam family: Bacterial small subunit ribosomal RNA
Source: RNAcentral